ACGAACGUUGGCGGCGUGGAUAAGGCAUGCAAAAGUCGAUCGAGAAAGCAUCUUCGGAUGUGAGUAAAGAGGCGGACGGGUGAGUAACACGUAAUCAAGUUGCCCUUGAGACUGGGAUAACAGCGGGAAACUGCUGCUAAUACCGGAUGGUCCUGCCGGACCGCAUGGUCUGGCAGGUAAAUGAUUGGGAUCCUUCGGGACCUUUUGCUCAAGGAGACGUUGCGCUCUAUCAGCUUGUUGGUGAGGUAACGGCUCACCAAGGCUACGACGGAUAGCAGGCCUGAGAGGGUGGUCUGCCACACUGGGACUGAGACACUGCCCAGACUCCUACGGGAGGCUGCAGUCGAGAAUCUUCCGCAAUGGGCGAAAGCCUGACGGAGCGACGCCGCGUGAAGGACGAAGGCCCUAGGGUUGUAAACUUCUGUCGCGAAUUAUGAAAUGCCUGAGGUUAAUAGCUUCAGGUUUGACGUAAGUUUGAAAGGAAGCACCGGCUAACUCUGUGCCAGCAGCCGCGGUAAUACAGAGGGUGCAAACGUUGUUCGGAAUCACUGGGCAUAAAGGGCGCGUAGGCGGCACGUCAAGUGUGGAGUGAAAUCCCACGGCUCAACCGUGGAACUGCUUCGCAAACUGGCGAGCUCGAGGACGGUAGGGGAGAGCGGAACUCUUGGAGGAGCGGUGAAAUGCGUAGAUAUCAAGAGGAACACCAAUGGCGAAGGCAGCUCUCUGGUCCGUUUCUGACGCUGAGGCGCGAAAGCUAGGGUAGCGAACGGGAUUAGAUACCCCGGUAGUCCUAGCCGUAAACGAUGAGCACUAGCUAGGGGUCCUUCCUGUGGGGUCCCUGGCGAAGCAAAUGUACUAAGUGCUCCGCCUGGGGAGUAUGGUCGCAAGGCUAAAACUCAAAGGAAUUGACGGGGGCUCACACAAGCGGUGGAGCAUGUGGUUUAAUUCGAUGCAACGCGAAGAACCUUACCCAGCCUUGACAUCCAGGCAUAACUUUGGUGAAAGCAGGGGGAUUGCCUUCGGGUGUAACCUAGACAGGUGUUGCAUGGCUGUCGUCAGCUCGUGUCGUGAGAUGUCGGGUUAAGUCCCUUAACGAGCGAAACCCCUAUUACUAGUUGCCAGCGGGUAAAGCCGGGGACUCUAGUGAGACUGCCGUUGUUAAGACGGAGGAAGGUGGGGAUGACGUCAAGUCAUCAUGGCCCUUACGGCUGGGGCUACACACGUGCUACAAUGGUCCGGACAAAGGGAUGCGAGCCCGCGAGGUCAAGCAAACCCCCUAAACCGGGCCUCAGUUCGGAUUGUAGGCUGAAACUCGCCUGCAUGAAGUCGGAAUCGCUAGUAAUCGCGGAUCAGCUACGCCGC
RNAcentral lists this ribosomal RNA (1362 nucleotides) under uncultured prokaryote. RNAcentral's name for it is "partial 16S ribosomal RNA". It matches the Rfam family "Bacterial small subunit ribosomal RNA", at positions 29 to 1360 of the family's 1533-position model. The record is from RNAcentral.